This 495-nucleotide ribosomal RNA is filed under the name uncultured bacterium. Its description in RNAcentral is "partial 16S ribosomal RNA". It matches the Rfam family "Bacterial small subunit ribosomal RNA", at positions 28 to 507 of the family's 1533-position model. The record is from RNAcentral.
GACGAACGCUGGCGGCGUGCCUAAUACAUGCAAGUAGAACGCUGAAGGAGGAGCUUGCUUCUCUGGAUGAGUUGCGAACGGGUGAGUAACGCGUAGGUAACCUGCCUGGUAGCGGGGGAUAACUAUUGGAAACGAUAGCUAAUACCGCAUAAGAGUAGAUGUUGCAUGACAUUUGCUUAAAAGGUGCAAUUGCAUCACUACCAGAUGGACCUGCGUUGUAUUAGCUAGUUGGUGGGGUAACGGCUCACCAAGGCGACGAUACAUAGCCGACCUGAGAGGGUGAUCGGCCACACUGGGACUGAGACACGGCCCAGAAUCCUACGGGAGGGAGCAGGAGGGAAUCUUUGGCAAUGGAGCGAAGUCUGACCGAGGAACGCCGGGGGAGGGAAGAAGGUUUUCGGAUCGUAAAGCUCUGUUGUAAGAGAAGAAAGAGAGGGAGAGUGGAAAGUGCACACUGUGACGGUAUCUUACCAGAAAGCGACGGCUAACUACGUG